UUCCAGGAAUGAGUCAAACAUCCUCUCCACAGACUUCCUUGACUUCUCUGCUGUCCCAGCCAGUACAAGAGAGAGGAGCUUCACACAGUCCCAGAUGUCCCAGAUGACACAGGGAGAAGAAAGAAGACACAGGACAGUGUCCCCAUGGGAACAAAUAAUUAUUCCCGCCCAGCCAAUGAUCUGCUUUCUGCCCUGUAGUUCUGACUCCUCAGACUCUGAUUUCCAAAACAAAUGAGU
Molecule: non-coding RNA, 237 nt
Organism: Myodes glareolus (Bank vole)
Lineage: Eukaryota; Metazoa; Chordata; Mammalia; Rodentia; Cricetidae
Source: RefSeq, a predicted model, not a curated record